GCCGCCCACCCUAGCACCGCCCGCUUCACUCAGCCCCGCCCCGCUCGGCCCCGCCCGCCCGUCGAGCCUCCUAAUAACACGUAAAUCUCGCGAGCGCACCGAGCAGUUCGAAAAAAGUAAAGCUUUUUCCUCCCCGCCUGCAACUGUACGCGAUCUCCUUGGAUCGCGUUGGCCCCGGCUGCGCAGUCGCAGCUCGGAACCGCUGCUUUAACCCAACCCCGGAAAUAACAUCCGGAGCUUCCGUUGCAAGCCGGAAGUUAGCUAGAGAGUGAGUUGCGUCCGUCCGUCCUCUUUAGGACGCCGGACUACCAGGCAGCCAUCUUGUUCAAGGGUGGUCUAUCAACCGCUGAGACAAACGACAGUAAAAGGAGAAAGAGCAACCUAGCUAUGUUAAAAUGGGAAAGGAUGAUCAUGAUAACAGUGAAAUGUUCCUGGAAGUAGCAGUUUCUCAGUAAGUUUUGGCUGCCGCAGACGUCACUCGCCUAGCAUUUCCAACGUGAUGACGUCGUCGCGGGCCGCGGUAGGAGACUUUCACACUCCAGGAGGAACCAUAUCUCUUCUGCUCUUUGCUAUAUGGAUGUGGUUCUCGAAGUCACUGCAGAAGCAGACUGUGUGCAGUGGAGGUGGCAGAGGGCCACGGGAUAAGUUCAGCAGAGAAAACCCUGAGGCACAGGGGAGACAGCUCUUUGACGAAGCUAUCUCUGGGACAGCAGCCACAUACUAUCCAAGUGAUCACGCGAACGGACCAGAUGUCCCUGUCUGUUUCACCGUAUCUCCUACAAGUCCAGAUGGCCAGGCCUGCACAGUCUGCUGGAUGCCGGCAGGGAACUGCAUCCCCUCCUCUCUCUUCUCCCUCCUUCCACCUCCUUUGAUCCCAUAUCCCAGUAGCCAUUGCUCUGUUCCCAGAGCAUUUGGAUAUUUAGGAGAAAAAAAGUUCCUCAGAAAUCUCAAAAACUCUAAAAUUUGUUCUGAUGUGUUAAAUUUUAGGACGGAAAAUCUGAACAGCAAGUGGACAUGCUAA
Molecule: long non-coding RNA, 1021 nt
Filed under: Fukomys damarensis (Damara mole-rat)
Lineage: Eukaryota; Metazoa; Chordata; Mammalia; Rodentia; Bathyergidae
Description: lncRNA (ENSFDAG00000025565.1)
Source: RNAcentral